UUUUUAUUAAGAGUUUGAUCCUGGCUCAGGAUGAACGCUGGCGGCGUGCCUAACACAUGCAAGUCGAGCGA
RNAcentral lists this ribosomal RNA (71 nucleotides) under Natronincola ferrireducens. Its description in RNAcentral is "16S rRNA. Bacterial SSU". It matches the Rfam family "Bacterial small subunit ribosomal RNA", at positions 1 to 69 of the family's 1533-position model. The record is from RNAcentral. Lineage: Bacteria; Bacillati; Bacillota; Clostridia; Peptostreptococcales; Natronincolaceae.